This 468-nucleotide ribosomal RNA is filed under the name uncultured bacterium. RNAcentral describes it as "partial 16S ribosomal RNA". It matches the Rfam family "Bacterial small subunit ribosomal RNA", at positions 28 to 507 of the family's 1533-position model. The record is from RNAcentral.
GACGAACGCUGGCGGCGUGCUUAACACAUGCAAGUCGAACGGAAAGGCCCUGCUUUUGUGGGGUGCUCGAGUGGCGAACGGGUGAGUAACACGUGAGUAACCUGCCCUUGACUUUGGGAUAACUUCAGGAAACUGGGGCUAAUACCGGAUAGGAGCUCCUGCUGCAUGGUGGGGGUUGGAAAGUUUCGGCGGUUGGGGAUGGACUCGCGGCUUAUCAGCUUGUUGGUGGGGUAGUGGCUUACCAAGGCUUUGACGGGUAGCCGGCCUGAGAGGGUGACCGGCCACAUUGGGACUGGGAUACGGCCCCGACUCCUACGGGAGGCAGCAGUGGGGAAUAUUGCCCAAUGGGCGGAAGCCUGAUGCAGCAACGCCGCGUGCGGGAUGACGGCCUUCGGGUUGUAAACCGCUUUCGCCUGUGACGAAGCGUGAGUGAAGGUAAUGGGUAAAGAAGCACCGGCUAACUACGUG